GUGCUCGCUGCGGCAGCACGUAUACAACUGGAACGAGACAGAGAAGAUUGCCACGGCCCUGCGCGAGGGUGACACGCAGAUUCGCGACGCGAUCCAUAGUUUU
RNAcentral lists this small nuclear RNA (103 nucleotides) under Propithecus coquereli (Coquerel's sifaka). Lineage: Eukaryota; Metazoa; Chordata; Mammalia; Primates; Indriidae. The record is from RNAcentral.